RNAcentral lists this ribosomal RNA (569 nucleotides) under Candidatus Neomicrothrix parvicella. RNAcentral's name for it is "bacterial SSU rRNA". It matches the Rfam family "Bacterial small subunit ribosomal RNA", at positions 333 to 916 of the family's 1533-position model. The record is from RNAcentral. Lineage: Bacteria; Bacillati; Actinomycetota; Acidimicrobiia; Acidimicrobiales; Microthrixaceae.
AGACUCCUACGGGAGGCAGCAGUAGGGAAUCUUGCGCAAUGGGCGAAAGCCUGACGCAGCAAUGCCGCGUGCGGGACGAAGGCCCUAGGGUCGUAAACCGCUUUCAGUAGGGACGAAAAUGACGGUACCUGCAGAAGAAGCUCCGGCCAACUACGUGCCAGCAGCCGCGGUGAUACGUAGGGAGCAAGCGUUGUCCGGAAUUACUGGGCGUAAAGGGCUCGUAGGUGGUUGAGUAAGUCAGAUGUGAAAUCUCAGGGCCCAACCCUGAGCCUGCAUUUGAUACUGCUCUGACUAGAGUCCGGUAGGGGAGUGCGGAACUCCUGGUGUAGCGGUGAAAUGCGCAGAUAUGAGGAAGAACACCGACAGCGAAGGCAGCACUCUGGGCCGGUACUGACACUGAGGAGCGAAAGCAUGGGUAGCAAACAGGAUUAGAUACCCUGGUAGUCCAUGCCGUAAACGUUGGGCACUAGGUGUGGGGAGAACUCAACUCUCUCCGCGCCGUAGCUAACGCAUUAAGUGCCCCGCCUGGGGAGUACGGCCGCAAGGCUAAAACUCAAAGGAAUUGACGG